This 460-nucleotide ribosomal RNA is filed under the name uncultured bacterium. RNAcentral describes it as "partial 16S ribosomal RNA". It matches the Rfam family "Bacterial small subunit ribosomal RNA", at positions 338 to 795 of the family's 1533-position model. The record is from RNAcentral.
CCUACGGGCGGCUGCAGUGAGGAAUAUUGGUCAAUGGGCGAGAGCCUGAACCAGCCAAGUCGCGUGAGGGAAGACGGUCCUACGGAUUGUAAACCUCUUUUGUCAGGGAGCAAGGAGCGCCACGAGUGGUGCGGCGAGAGUACCUGAAGAAAAAGCAUCGGCUAACUCCGUGACAGCAGCCGCGGUAAUACGGAGGGGGCAAGCGUUAUCCGGAAGUACUGGGUGUAAAGGGAGCGUAGACGGUUAAGUAAGUCUGGAGUGAAAGGCCGGGGCCCAACCCCGGGACUGCUCUGGAAACUAGUGAACUUGAGUGCAGGAGAGGUAAGCGGAAUUCCUAGUGUAGCGGUGAAAUGCGUAGAUAUUAGGAGGAACACCAGUGGCGAAGGCGGCUUACUGGACUGUAACUGACGUUGAGGCUCGAAAGCGUGGGGAGCAAACAGGAUUAGAUACCCGAGUAGUC